This 506-nucleotide ribosomal RNA is filed under the name uncultured bacterium. Its description in RNAcentral is "partial 16S ribosomal RNA". It matches the Rfam family "Bacterial small subunit ribosomal RNA", at positions 29 to 523 of the family's 1533-position model. The record is from RNAcentral.
AGUGAACGCUGGCGGUAGGCCUAACACAUGCAAGUCGAACGGCAGCACAGAGGAGCUUGCUCCUUGGGUGGCGAGUGGCGGACGGGUGAGGAAUACAUCGGAAUCUACUCUGUCGUGGGGGAUAACGUAGGGAAACUUACGCUAAUACCGCAUACGACCUACGGGUGAAAGCAGGGGAUCUUCGGACCUUGCGCGAUUGAAUGAGCCGAUGUCGGAUUAUGUAGUUGGCGGGGUAAAGGCCCACCAAGGCGACGAUCCGUAGCUGGUCUGAGAGGAUGAUCAGCCACACUGGAACUGAGACACGGUCCAAACUCCUACGGGAGGCAGCAGUGGGGAAUAUUGGACAAUGGGCGCAAGCCUGAUCCAGCCAUACCGCGUGGGUGAAGAAGGCCUUCGGGUUGUAAAGCCCUUUUGUUGGGAAAGAAAUCCAUCUGGUUAAUACCCGGGUGGGAUGACGGUACCCAAAGAAUAAGCACCGGCUAACUUCGUGCCAGCCGCCGCAGUAA